Molecule: non-coding RNA, 789 nt
Organism: Callorhinus ursinus (northern fur seal)
Lineage: Eukaryota; Metazoa; Chordata; Mammalia; Carnivora; Otariidae
Source: RefSeq, a predicted model, not a curated record
UUUAUUAAAAUAAAUUGUAAACAGUGCUCCAGUGAAUAUCCUUAAACUGUGUAAUUAUUCCUAAUUGCCUGAAAAACUGAACCUCCUCUCCUCCCAGAAUUCUGUUCUACCUUCACAUGCUUGCAGGAGCCCAGCUAUAUGACAGGCUCAGUGUGGAAUCCUGAGCAGGCAGAAGAAGACAUUCUCCCCACUGGAAUCUGUGAUCUUAUGAAGAAGACAGCCUUGUCUCUGGCCAGAGUGGACAAGUGAAAAAUGGGAGGAUGAAAUACCCAGCCCUCUGACUCUGGAAGGUGCCAGGACCGAGCUCCUCUGGCCCCCGGUGAAGCCUCUCAUUCCUUCCAGUGCACAGAGGAUAAAGUACAGGGCCUCUUCUUUCCUUCCCUGCUUUCCUCCCUUCCUUCUUUCUUUCCUUCCUUCUUUCCAAAUGUCUAGGAAAUGUGACUCUUCUUGUUUCAGAUAUGUGCACUUUAGUAUGAUUUGAUUUAAUCUGUUUUUUUUUUUUUAAGCUGAAGGAAUGCUAGUGCUGGCACAGGUCUUUUUGUAUCAGUAAAAGGAAGCAACAAAGAAAAGAGGUAUGAAAAGUUCCUUUUGGUAUAAGAACAAUUUGUCAUAAGAUUCUGUACCCCAAAUACCCAGGCUCGAAGAGACUAUUUUUGCCAUCAGUCUUGUCACCCAAGACUCUGUUCUUUCCCUUCUUUUCUUCCCUUCCUUCCCCCUCUGACACUUCUAUAUGUGUGCCUGAAUAUAGUAAAGUUGCUUUGAGCUUUUUUUUUUUUUUUUUCAAUUAUU